RNAcentral lists this ribosomal RNA (274 nucleotides) under uncultured bacterium. RNAcentral's name for it is "partial 16S ribosomal RNA". It matches the Rfam family "Bacterial small subunit ribosomal RNA", at positions 523 to 796 of the family's 1533-position model. The record is from RNAcentral.
AUACGGAGGGGGCUAGCGUUGUUCGGAAUUACUGGGCGUAAAGCGUACGCAGGCUGACCAUUAAGUUAGAGGUGAAAUCCCAGGGCUCAACCCUGGAACUGCCUUUAAAACUGCUGGUCUGGAGUUAUGGAGAGGUAAGUGGAAUUCCUAGUGUAGAGGUGAAAUUCGUAGAUAUUAGGAGGAACACCAGAGGCGAAGGCGGCUUACUGGACAUAUACUGACGCUGAGGUACGAAAGUGUGGGGAGCAAACGGGAUUAGAAACCCUAGUAGUCC